This 403-nucleotide ribosomal RNA is filed under the name Verrucomicrobiota bacterium. RNAcentral's name for it is "Verrucomicrobia bacterium partial 16S ribosomal RNA". It matches the Rfam family "Bacterial small subunit ribosomal RNA", at positions 355 to 776 of the family's 1533-position model. Lineage: Bacteria; Pseudomonadati; Verrucomicrobiota. The record is from RNAcentral.
UGGGGAAUAUUGCACAAUGGGGGAAACCCUGAUGCAGCGACGCCGCGUGAGCGAAGAAGGCUUUCGAGUCGUAAAGCUCUGUCCUAUGAGAAGAUAAUGACGGUAUCAUAGGAGGAAGCCCUGGCUAAAUACGUGCCAGCAGCCGCGGUAAUACGUAUGGGGCUAGCGUUGUCCGGAAUCACUGGGCGUAAAGGGUUCGCAGGCGGAAAUGCAAGUCAGGUGUAAAAGGCAGUAGCUUAACUACUGUAAGCAUUUGAAACUGCAUAUCUUGAGAAGAGUAGAGGUAAGUGGAAUUUUUAGUGUAGCGGUGAAAUGCGUAGAUAUUAAAAAGAAUACCGGUGGCGAAGGCGACUUACUGGGCUCAUUCUGACGCUGAGGAACGAAAGCGUGGGUAGCAAACAGG